This 497-nucleotide ribosomal RNA is filed under the name uncultured bacterium. Its description in RNAcentral is "partial 16S ribosomal RNA". It matches the Rfam family "Bacterial small subunit ribosomal RNA", at positions 28 to 507 of the family's 1533-position model. The record is from RNAcentral.
GAUGAACGCUGGCGGCGUGCCUAAUACAUGCAAGUCGAGCGAACGAAGGGGGAGUUGCCCCCUUGUCCGUUGCGGGCGGCGGGUGGAUUACCAGGUGUAUACCUUCCCUUAAGGACGGGGAUACCUCCGGGAACCCGAAGCUAAUACCGGUUAUUAUAUUGACCGGCUGGGUUCAUUGUGAAAGGCGGUUUUGGCUGUCCCUAUUACUGGAUUCCGCGCCGCAUUAGCUAGUUGGUAAGGUAACGGCUUACCAAGGCGACGAUGCGUAGCCGACCUGAGAGGGUGAUCGGCCACACUGGAACUGAGACACGGUCCAGACUCCUACGGGAGGCAGCAGUAGGGAAUCUUCCGCAAUGGGCGAAAGCCUGACGGAGCAACGCCGCGUGAGUGAUGAAGGUCUUCGGAUCGUAAAACUCUGUUAUUAGGGAAGAACAAAUGUGUAAGUAACUAUGCACGUCUUGACGGUACCUAAUCAGAAAGCCACGGCUAACUACGUG